GCCCAGGAGUCACCAGACGCCAGGCCGAAACGCGAAACCGACCCCAAAUCGAAUCCACCGCCGCGGCGCCGCUCCCCCCUUCGGCCGCCCGCCCUAGCUACUCCUCCGGCGGCUGGCGAGCGAGCAGAGAUGAAAGCCGCUGCUCCCGCCGUCCCACCUCCCCUCUCAGCCUCUUACUCCACCUCAAUCUGCCGGCGGGGAAUUUCGGAUUCCAGCAACAAGGGGCGCAUCGGUGAUUUUUGGGGCGCGGCUGCGACAGAGCUCGACGCCUGGUGUUAAUCUGGCCGGGUGUCAAUGGCCGAUGGCGGCUCCAAAGGAUCGACAACGCUGCCACGGGUAGAGAUCGACGGCAGUAGGCCUGAUCUGUCGCCCCUCCAGUGGAUUCGUCGCUCCUCUUCCACGGCCACCAAUUGCGCAGGCCCCUUUCCUCCUUGAACGCUCGCUCAGGGUCAGGGUGCUCCGUUCCUCAGCCGGUGAGCCCCCCUCCAGUGCAUUCUUCCCCAUAAAUGUGGUACUGAAAGGAGGAAAAUGAAAGAAGCCAGUAUUCUGCGUGGGCUGUUCGAUCUACUACAGCUCCUGGAGAAUUAUACUGAUGCCGCGUGUUUAUUGACAAGAUUUAUAUGUCUUGAGCAAGAACCUAUUAGACCGAGAUGAUUGCAUAUAAGAAGAUCGAUCUUGCCUCUUCUGCAGUCUGGUGGAUUUUGAAAGAAAGGAAUUGCAGAUUUUAUUUGGACAAAGAGAUGAAGCCAGAAAGGAUUCGAUUCGGUACAACACCAUCACCGAUGCAGACGACAAGGGGUUCAUCGUGCCAGGCACCUCGGCGUUGCUUCCGUGAGAUGGCGGCAGCGGCUACAGAAACAGCUACGGUGAGCUCCUCUCCUCGCCUCCAGUGGUUGCUCUGAGCACUGCGUGGCCAUCGUACCAUGGCUAUGUCUGAUUAGGCUGCUACAGUACACCCUUGCAUAACGAUGGUGCUACUGUUUGUUUGUUUCUCUGCCUUGCUGCCACUAGCCUGCCUGAUAGAGACUUGCUGAAUAUGUAUGUCUUUGAGCAGGAACUGAUAGAAUAUAUAUAGCUCAUGUUCAUGUUGAUUCCCAUCCCACUCAAAGUAUGAAACCCUUCUUCUUCGCACUCAACAACUAGGCAGCACACCCGAAUAUAUAUGCACAUAUAUGUAUGUAGUUUCCCACUACACACAUGGAGCAGUCUUGUUCGUUUCAGGAUGUAGUAUCACCACUUUAUUUGUUCCCUGGCUGCCUCCAUGAAAUUCUGACUGCAUAUAUGUGGUCUGUGUACCAUCCAUGCUAUGCACUUGCAUCCUCAACUCAUGUUGGUAUUGUUUAAUAUCCAUGCUAGUUUAGUUGCCGUGUGGCCUUGUUUCCAUGAUGAUGGAAUUCCAAAUAUCUGGUUGUGGCAUGCUGCUCUCUUUUGACACUCAUUUUAUACACUACAAAUUAUUCAUACAACAUGGAGGGCCGGUACGGACGCUGUGGACACUCAUUUAUGUCACUUCAUUCAAUUAAGAAAGGCAUUUUCGACAACGUCAAAGUAAGAAGUCGUCUCAAGAAGAGUGGUGCCAGAAUAACCAUAAUGUUCAAUAGAGGGAAGCGGGCGAGCACGGAAGCCAUAGUAGGUUGAGUUGGAGGCGGUGCGUUGCCAAUAGGAGGCAUGGUAGUCGAGGGAGAUGGCGAAUUAGAAUAAUCCACAACACGUGGACGACCAAUGUGGUAAGAAGAGGAUGAGGGGGAAUCACUGGAGAAGCCUCAGAUGGACGAGCGAGGUUUGAGGUAGCCUCAUGUAAUGAACGAGGUGGGGAAUCACAUGUGACGAUGGUAUAGGGUCUACAAUAUUAGUACAGGAAGACACGGUGGGAUGGGUGGAUGAGGACAACGCAUGAGCGAUAGGUGUAUCUGCAAAAGUGAGAAAAGAAAUAUCGUCAAUGGGAGGAUGGACGUGGAUAGAAAGGAUGAGAUUCAUCAAAAGCCACAUCCCGAGAAAUGAGCAUCCGAUGACCAACGGGAUCCUAAGAAGUGACAUUCAAUAGAUUGAGCAACCAGUUUGGUGUGUUCACGGGGGGUAGGGGGUGCAAAAAGAAAAGGUAGCAACCACAACCAAACAAAAGAAGUGUGAGUAGCCAUGAGAAUGACCAAAAAGACGCUCCAGAGAAAGGUCACCCUAUAAAGCAGAGGAAGGUCGUAUGUUGAUAAGAUGGGUGGAAGUACGAACAAUCUCAACCCAGAAAUGAGGUGAAAGAGAGGUGAGUAUCAUCAAUGCACGAGCUGCCUCGAGAAAGUGACGAUGCUUGCGCUCAUCAACACCAUUUUGAGAAUGAGCAUCAGGACAAGAGAAUUGAGGAAGUGUACCCUGCUCAUCAAGGAAUCCACACAACAAAUGAGAGAUAUACAUAUACUCACGAGCAAAAUCUACAUGGAAGACACUGAUAGGAGUGGAAAACUGGGUAUGAACCAUGGCGAUUAAACUUCUUACAGAUAGAUAAGAUCUCACUACAAUAGGAUAUAAAAUAUAUCCAUGUGUUUUGAGAGUAAUCAUCUUAAAGAUAAUAUAGUAGUGAUGUCCUCCUUUCGAGGCAAAGGAAGCUGGACCCCAAACGUCGGAAUGAACAAGAUCGAAAGGAUGUUGAGACACCGUCUCACUAUGAGGAUGGAAGUAACCAAACCUGUUUACCAAGCCGACAAACCUGAUAGUUUAAAGCAACACCUGAGACAGAUACAAGAAAAUCACGUUGACCCAAGGUGAGGGACGAGAGCCAUACAAGUGACCGACGAGAGCUAUACAAGUGACCGACGAUGAUGCCGCAGAGAGUCGGUAGCCAAGGAAACAGACGAAGGAAAGGUAGCAACCACAACCAAGCAAAUGAAGCGCUAAGUAGUCAUGAGAACGACUAAAAAGACGCUCGAGAGAAAUGUCACCCUGCAGAGAAGAGGAAGGGUGAAUGUUGCUGAGAUGGGUGGAAGUAGGAACAAUCUCAACCCAAAACGGAGGUGGAAGAGAGAUGACGAGCAUCGACGCACGAGUUGCCUCAAGAAAGUGACGAUGCUUGCGCUAUCAACACAAUUUUGAGCAUGAGCACCAGGAGAAGAGAACUGAGCAAGUGCGCCCUGCUCAACGAGGAAUCCACACAACAAAUGAGAGAUAUACUCACGAGCAGAAUCUGCAUGAAAGACACCGAUGGUAGUGGAAAACUGGGUAUGAACAAUGGAGAUAAACUUCUUACAGAUAAGAUCUCACUACAAGAAGAUAUAAAAUAUAUCCAUGUGUGUCGAGAGUAAUCAUCUAUAAACAUAAUAUAGUAGCGAUGGCCUCCUUCCGAGGCGAAGGAAACUAGACCCCAAACAUCAUAGUGAACAAGAUUGAAAGGAUGUUGAGAUACCGCCUCGUUAUGAGGAUAAAGUAACCGAACCUGUUUACCAUGUUGACAAACCUGAUAGUUCAAAGACACAACACCUGAGACAGAUUCAAGAAAACCACGUCAAACUAACGACGAGGGACAAGAGCCAUACAAGUGACCCGCGAUGAUGCCACAUAGAGCCGGCAGCGGAGGAAACAUAGGUGAAGAGAGUAGCGACGGUGGCAGCAAGACAGGUGAAGCCAUUCAAGCUCCCAGAGGACCUGGGAGUCAAUGCGCCGAGGGCCAGCACAAAGUAAAGCACACGUAUGACGAUCCUAAUCUAAACAAGAGCCAAAGACGAGGAUGACUACUCCCGAGUCAAUAAUCUUACACUUGAAAUGAGCUACAUGGUAAGUCAAGGAACAUGACAACAGUGCUAAUAGUGGUUGGAUCGAAUGGAAGGGAAGUACCAUCAGCAGUAAGAACAUGAACAUGAGAGUCUAGAGGUUUGAAUGGAGGACAAACGGAAGAAGCAUGAGUCAUGAAAAGACGCUCCAAUUUCAAGGAUCCAUGGAAAGAUGUGCUUCCCACCUAGAAAUGAGUUCAGUGCUCAACCUCGUAGUAGCACACUUAUAUGAUAAUUUUUGGACAUUUCUAGUAACAAGAAGUCUUACUCCUAUUUUGGCAUUUUGGCCUGAGGUGGCUGGGCUAGUAGGUGCCAAGGUGGUUGUGGAAAGAAAAUCGAGCUUGAACAGACCCGAUGUGUAAGGAGAAAGAUGAUUUUGACCCUUGGUUAUGAUUUUGGUAUGAAGCCACCUCGCAAGAGGUUAUGAUUGCAGGCAACCCCCGUCAGUCAAGGACCCACCCUUGGCGCCAUGGCAAAGAAAGUGACAAGUCUUAUAGAAUACCACGAGGGAAAACUGGGACGAGCAGCUCAACUCAGGGUUCGUUUUUGCAAGUUCCUAGUGAAGAAAAGAUAGAGGAUGGCGAGGGCGUUCCGCUUCUGACAUCAUUUUCAUUGCUUCCUCAUACCCCCCUAUUUGCAAGUUCAUGUGAAGAAAAGACAGAUGGCAAGGGCGUGCCAUCCUUGACAGCGUUUCCAUUGCAUCCCCAUAACUCCCAUACACUCUCCAUUUCUUGCCGAUCCGACUUGGCGUUCUUCCUCUGUUUGUGGGUUGUGUGUCACGGAUUUGAUUCUGCAUUCCAUGUUCCAUUGCUAGUCGUCCCUGGCCUUGGCGACAGGUAGCGUCGUGCUCCUGGGUGCUAUGCGUCCUCGCGUAAGACGGAGACGGUGCCGACUGCUCGUGCUCUUGCUCCGCCAGUGGUGGUGCCUGAGCUUGUGGCUAUUGGGGCACCUUGCAUGGGAGCACAGGAUGUAGGGAGAAGGCAGCACACAAAGCAACUUGCAGACAUGUGAAGGAUGCCCUGCCGGACUGGCAGACAGUGGAGAGUACACGAGAGGUGUUGGGGAAGGGUGAAAACGCUGCCGGGAGUGGACUGCUAUUGCUGUCAGUCUUUGGACCCAGAGCCGAGCGAAGAGGGGAUGGCGAUAAGGAUGCGAGGAAGACAGGACGAGGGCAUAUGCUCGUGUGUCGGCCGUGACAAUGGAUGGCAUGGUUGUUGUGGAGUGAGGUGCCAUCGUAGUCACGGGCAUGGCACGACACUCUGCCAUCGUAGUCGCGGCCAUAUUGUGCUGAAAACCACGGGCCACACGAGGAGCUUUGUAACGCUUAGGACAUCUCUCUUAACAUAGUAGACACACUUACAAGUGACAAACAAGCACGAGAAGGAAGGGAAAUGAGAUCCCAUGUGUCGAAUGCACUCACGAGCAGCGAUCUCCUAUGCCAUCGCAUGUUGCAGUUCGAGGUGUGGGGAAGGGUGAAAACGCUGCCGGGAGGGGACUGCCAUUGCCUCCAGUCUUUGGACCCGGAGCCGAACGAAGAGGGGAUGGCGACAAGGAAGCGAGGAAGACAGAAAGAGGGCAUAUGCCCGUGUGUGGGCCGUGACUGUGGACAAUUGUGGAUAGAUUCGAUAUCUACACAUGGAUCUGCUACUCGUGAUGGCAUGGCAUGGCACUCUGCCAUUGUAGUCAUGGCCAUAUUUGUGCUGAAAACUAUGGGCCACACGACGAGCUUUAUAACACUUAGGACAACCAUCUUAACAUUGUAGGCACACUUACAAGUGACAGACGAGCACGAGGAGGAAGGGGAAUGAGAUCCCAUGUGUCGAUGCACUCACGAGCAACAAUCUCCUAUGCCAUCACAUGUUGCAGUUCGAGGUGAACAACACCGUCAUGGGCAUUCAUCUUGAGAAGAACGGCGCUGGAAUAACAAUAGCAGACAAUAGGCGGAAGCGGUGCGUGGCCAACAGAAGGAGGCAUGGCAGUCGAGGGAGAUGGCGCAUCAGAAGAAUCCACAACAAGCGGACGACCAAUGUGGUAAAUAUAAGAGGACGAGGGGGAAACCACCAGAGAAGCCACAGGGGAACGAGCGUGGUGAGGUUGCCUAAGGUAACAAACAAGGUGGUGAAGCCACAUGUGACGAUGGCAUGGUGUCUACAACAGAAUAUGGGAAGACAUGAUGGGAUGGGUGGACGAGGGCAACACAUGAGUGAUAGUUUUAUCAGGAAAAGUGAGGAAAGGAAUAUCCUCAAUGGGAGGAUAGCCGUGGAUAGAAAAGGACGAGACUCAUCAAAAGUCACAUCUCGAGAAAUGUGUAUUCGACGACUGACAGGAUCCCAACAUUGAUAGCCUGUGUGCUCGUCAUUGCAACGACAACCAAACAAACGAAGUACUGAGUCAUGAGAAUGACCAAAAUGAUGCUUGAUAGAAAUGUCACCCUGCAAAGCAGAGGUUUGAAUGUUGAUGAGAUAGGAGUGGAAAACUGGGUAUGCACUAUGACGACAAACUUCUUAUAGAGAAAUCAUCUAUAAAGAUAAUAUAGUAAAGAAAUUUUCGAGGCAAAUGGAGUUGGAUCCCAAACAUCAGAGUGAACAAGAUCGAAAGGGCGUUGAGAAACCGUCUCUCUAUGAGGAUGAAAUAACAGAACUGUUUACCAAGCAGACAAACCUGACAGUCUAAAGACCCAACACCGGAGACAUAUCCACGUCGAACUAAGGAUGAGGGACGAGAGCCACACAAGUGACCAAGACAAUGAUGCGAUAGAGAGCUGAUAGUCGAGGUAACAGAGGCGAAGAGAUUGGCACCAAGUAGAGCUCCCAUGUGACGGUCCUAAUCUACAACCAGAGUCAACAAUCUAACCACCUGAAAUGAGCUACAUGGUAAGUCAAGGAAGAUGAGCAAAAGAAGGAACAUGACAAGACAAAGUGAUAAGAGUGCCUCAACUAUCGAAUGGGAGGGGAGUACGAUCAACAGUAAGAACAUGAACAGGAGAAGCUAGAGGUUUGAAUGGAGGACAAACUGGAAGAAUCAUGAGUUAUAUGAAAAUAUGUUCCAAUAUCCAUGGAAAUAUACCCGACUAUACAAAAAGUGUUCUCAGUACAGAAGAAUCAAUAGCAAAACCUACAAAACUGUUGAUGGAGAACGAAAAGUAGCAUCUAACAGACAUUGAAGUCUCGUAAUCUUCGGCAUAGUCAGUGGUUUAACUGAAGAGGUCGACGAAGAAGCAUCAUACGAUGAAAAACUAGGAGCAAUAAGUAGGUGUCCAUGUUGUCCAAGCUCCUGCCCGGUGAAGGAUACCGCUGAAGUGGUCGACGUAGAAUCACCAAAAGACGAGUGGCCGCCACCACCACCUGUGUGAGCCGCUAGAGGAGGCGGUGUAGCACGACCAAUACCGGUUGUAGAAGUCGUUGGAGGAGACGGCGUCGUAGGCACACAAACAUCAAACGCGUGGGAAGGUGCGUGUGCGAGACAUAGUCGGUGGAGUGAUGUGCACCAACACUAUCGACGAAAGCCAUGAGGGGAGUCUGUGUAGAGCGACCAUCACCAUUUACAAAGGUCGCAAGAGGUGUCACUAUGGAGCCACCAUCACUGCCUAUAAAAAUGAUUGGGGGGGGGGGAGCAACCUCAUAGGUGGAGGAACACUGCAUCGACGGAUGACACAUGUGCGAGGUGGGGUCAGUGUAGUCAGUCCAAUCACCGGACACCAAGGAAGAAACUAUGUCCAAUUUAAGAACAAUCUUUGUACCUGUUUCUUUGUUCUUCUACUCUUUUCUUUUACAGAACAAUCUUAGAGAGCAGCAGAUCAUGGAAGAGCAGUGUAUAGGGCACGCACGGUAGGGGCAUGGUGCCCUAGAGAAGCCAGUCGAUGGAACGGGUUGAUGGGUCUAAGGUUCGGCGGUGAAGUCCGGCGUUGAGGUCCUACGUGUAGCAAAAGGAGCGGAGACCGUGACCUGCAACAGCGGACGUCUCAAAUAUUGCGCCUCCUGGAGCUGAGGGCCGCCGGCCUUCUGUACAUGGUGACGAGGCGCUGACCUUCUGUACAUGGCGACGAGGCGCUGACCUUCUGUACAUGGCGAUGAGGCGCAACCUCCUGAAACUGCAGGUGACGAGGGCCUAGGGUCUACAACAUUAGUAUGGGAAGACACGGUGGGAUAAGUGGUGGAAGACAAUACAUGAGUGAUUGGUGUAUUGGGAAAAGUAAGGAAAGAAAUUUAACUCCUAAAGUAUGAGAGGGUCACUAGGUAGCCUUGUUGCUCCCGUGAAAUUGUUCAUUGGAAUCGACCCGCGGCCACUGUAGCUAGACAAAAAAAUCAGGAUGAAGCGAUCCCCACCUGGCCGUGAGCCCCGUGGCCGACUCCACUCAUCUUUGCCUCGUUGCCCUUGACCAUGACCUAACCCGGGUCUUCCUCGCGACCUUCCUUCCAUCUUCCCUUGUGCCGCCUAUCUCUGGCGCCUCUCCCAUGCUCUUGCCCUCACCGUUGUGAGCCUGCUUGAGGAGGUGCCCGACCAGAACGACAGGCUCCGGUGGGUCGUGCGUCAGUAAUGUCAUUCGCCGCGCCGAGCUCCGCCCUCUUCUUGAUGCGCGACAGUCGGUGUAGCUCUGCCUCAUCCUCCGCCUCCAUCGACAUUGUUUCUUCCUAAGCUCGACCUUGUUCACGACUGCAGCCACCACAGACUCCUUCCGCGCUCUUCCCGACGGCCGACAUGUCCGUGCUUGAUUAGCUCACGUCUUGACGGCCUCCAAGUGCACAAGUGAGUCCCCAUCCAUCUCUCUCUCCCCUCCCCUCUCUCUCUCCUUGCAGUUUCUGGAAUUGGGAGCGGAAGAAGCGGCGAGUGGUUCCGGAGGUGGCGGGCGGCAAUAGAAGUUCAUCUGACCUUCGUUCCUGUAGCAUGGUUCGAAUCAAUUAAAGACCUGUGAUUCAGUGGUAGAAGCUGCAGACAACCAUCACCGGCGAGGCACAGAAGAGGUUUCCACGGUCAGAUCUACAUUGAGGCGAGGCCAUGUCAAAGGAAACACCACUAGUUAUGUGUUUGCGCCAUCCUCUGCUACAUUUUGUUGUAUCAUAUUUGAGGUUCAGUUUCAUGCUGGUUGCAAUUUCUUACGGAUUGGUGUAUUUUGUUGUAGGUAGUAAGAUCAUAAGAUACUAAUGGGCUCCCUGUAAUCCCAAAGUGCACUGCUCAGUGGAUAGAUAUGUUUUACAAGAGCUUCUAGAGGUGCUUAAUUUUCUAUAUCGAAAACAACUGCUGGUAAAGUGCUAAUAUGAUAUUUUUGCUUACUGGAUACAUUAUUUUCCAAGUUCUUUCAGAGAUCUAAUAAUGAGGUUCCAAGCACUAACAACCCAACAAAGGCUGCUUUAAACUUUAAUAUAUAUUCACAGAGUUUGUCUGCUUGCUUCAAAAUUGGAAUGAGACUUUUGCUUGCUGAUAAAAUCCUUCAAUUGGUAAUAAGUUUCCCUUCAUUACAUGCUUAUUGUUCUUUCACAAAAGAAUGUUUUACAUUUCCAAAGAUUACUAAGUUAAGAUGGUGGUAACCGUUGGUAAAAUUGGCUCCCUCUUUCAUCUUCUCAGUAUUUCUGCUACUGUUGACCUUCUUUAUUCACAUGUUUAUACUUUUCUUUUUGGUCCAUGAUGACUUGUGUGGUCGUAAGACUGGAAUUAAUAAUUUCCUGGCUUAGUAGUCAUUAUCUUAUUCUUCAGUUUCCGUUUGCCUGAUCUUCUGUUGCUACACCCAUUUUCUGAAAGUUUUUGUUGCGAAGUGUCUGUCAAAGUGGUUGUGACUGCAUACGUAUAGGCUAUAUUUUGAGCAACCUGGCAGGCAAGAAUAUUAUAGUGUACUGCACUGUCUCACUGUAUAUGUCGUCUGCCAAGAUUUUGUGGCACGAGGCAUACAUACUAUUUGAGAUGUGAUUCUCUUGUCCUUAGAAGCAUGCGGUUUGUCCUGAUUUUCUGUAUGCUCUUUGUUCUCCACAGAUUGUACUUAAACAAACUUGAUUAAAUCGGGAAAAUAAGUUAUCCUCGGAAAUCUCCUGAUCAAUAGAGCACUUCAUGCUAUGUAGGAUAUCUGGUAUAUACGUCAAUUGCAUGUGUGAUUAUAUUUAUCAAUGUUAGAAGUAUUUUUCAUUCAACAAAGGGAGAUUUCGGGGUGCAGACUAUAAAUUGUUCGUCAGAGAUUAUACUCAGAUAGAUUUGAUAAAAUUGAGCAAAAUAAGUUACCGUUGCAUAUCUCCUGAUCAACAUGCUAUUUGCCAAUAGUCGUUGCGCUUCAGUAGUAGUUAAUGCAGUAUCAAGGUAGAAGUUGCUUAUAUGUGCGAAAAUAUUCAACCCAUAAUAUAUCAUAUCAAUAGACAGAGAUGCAUCAAUUCUUUUUCGUUAUUGAUUUUCAUAUCUGUCAUGUGCAGAGUACCCAUCUAUUAAUUAUGUAGGUCUUGAGUGUGGUUGUAAAUUAUGCACUACUGGUGGUUACGAGCCUUCAUCUCUACAAAAAAACAUGCAGUGAGGAACCAUCGUGUCUACAAAAAACAUGCUAUGAGGUUACUUGCUUCCCGACAGGGAUUGAGGUAGCUUGCUUCCCGUCAGAGAUUGAGGUUCCUAGGAGGUUACCAUCGGGAGAGUCAGGUUAUCCAUGACAUGUUUGUUCAAAUUUCUUGGGGGAAUGAGAUGUCAGAUUAUUUUACUUAUAAAUUGUUUGUUUCCUUGAAAGUUACUCAUUUCUGUUACCAUUGUUGUACAAGAUCAACUGUAUUUCCAGCUGUCAUCGUUUUUUUUGUGAGCUGCUUGUGUAGGAGAAUGAGAUGUGGGAUUGAACUACUCAGAAAUGUUUUGUACCCUUUAGAUCAUUUAUUUGCUAACUCCUUUGGGUUGUUGCACAUGAUACAGCUGUGCUUUUUUUAGAUGCAUUUUUUUUUGCUUUUAGAAUGAUAGAAUUGAUGACUUUUGGGCGCCACCAUUUGGUACAACAGUAUAUUUUCUUCCGUGCAAAUACUGUGUGUUGCCUCUUUAUUCUACCUUCUAAAUGUUUCCGCAAGAUUUCUUUCAUUUUUAUUUCUGAAUAACCAACCUCAACUGUAGCCUGCUCAGGUCAUUUCUCGCUUUACAAAAAGCUGGUCUUUCAGUUCUACAUUUGUUGGUAGAACAACAAUGGCAAUUGUAUUUGUUAAAGGCAUACUUAGGAAAAUGCCUUUGAGACUGAGCUUCUGUCAGGUUAUAUAAAUACCUAACGCUCAUUUUAUUUGCCGUUCCAAGUAUGUGUUGCAAAACAGAGCAAAUGGAAUUUGGUUUCAGGUGCAGCAUCGGCCUGCCUGGUUAAAUUCUUGCACUAAUAAGCAUCGGCCUUUCAGUUGUUCUCCAUUGGUUCCUAAAAACAACAUGGUCACUUUACUACCUUGCUGCAUUAUAGCUUUGCUUUAAUCGAUCGAUAAUGGCUCUGUUAUAAUUUUUCGACAAGUUGGAUUUGGAAUUCUAUUUGUCUGAUGAUCUCUCUUCCUUGCCAAUUUUCCUGUGAAUUGGAGGAUGGGCGAGGCUAAGGUACUGACGGCAUUGGACUCUGAAUUAGCGCACUCAGCCUCUGGAUUAUACCGUCACUUAUUUAUGUGUGCUUAUUUGCCACUUUUGUCAAAUUUCCCUACUGUGUACUAAACCGAAUGCUAUCUGUUUGUGUAACAAACUGAAUGUCAUCUGUUUGAAGUUUCCUAAACCUUUGCUGAAAAUACAAUGUAUUUAGCUCGAUUCUGCUGCAAGGUUGUUCUGAGAAGAAAAAAGCACUUGGGCCAGCUUGGUAUGUUGCUGGCUGGCCGCUUCCUACUUAUCUAUAGCUAUGUAUUUCUUGGCCAGCUGACUCAAACAAGACCAACUCCGUACCUUUUUUGCCACGAAAACCAAAUUGCCUGGCCUGACCUGACC
Long non-coding RNA from Triticum aestivum (bread wheat), 11648 nucleotides. RefSeq lists it as uncharacterized. The transcript has 5 exons. Lineage: Eukaryota; Viridiplantae; Streptophyta; Magnoliopsida; Poales; Poaceae. The record is from RefSeq and is a predicted model, not a curated record.